This 252-nucleotide ribosomal RNA is filed under the name uncultured bacterium. RNAcentral describes it as "partial 16S ribosomal RNA". It matches the Rfam family "Bacterial small subunit ribosomal RNA", at positions 524 to 776 of the family's 1533-position model. The record is from RNAcentral.
UACGAAGGGGGCUAGCGUUGCUCGGAAUCAGGGGCGUAAAGCGCACGUAGGCGGACUCUUAAGUCGGGGGUGAAAGCCCCGGGCUCAACCUGGGAACUGCAUUCAAAACUGACAAGCUAGAGUAUGGUAGAGGGUGGUGGAAUUUCCUGUGUAGCGGUGAAAUGCGUAGAUAUAGGAAGGAACACCAGUGGCGAAGGCGACCACCUGGACCGAUACUGACACUGAGGCGCGAAAGCUAGGGGAGCAAACGGG